Acipenser ruthenus (sterlet) is the source of this 3105-nucleotide long non-coding RNA. RefSeq lists it as uncharacterized. The transcript is spliced from 3 exons. The record is from RefSeq and is a predicted model, not a curated record. Lineage: Eukaryota; Metazoa; Chordata; Actinopteri; Acipenseriformes; Acipenseridae.
CUUUGAUUCCGGAAACAUGUGGUUGCUGUGGAACGCUGGCGGGAAGUUUAUUUCCCUGCUGCACUGAGAGAGAUAGAGCUGGCUCUAGGCACAGCUAAACGGGGAAAGAGCUGUAUUCAUCAAGAUUGAAGCCUGUGAAAUGGUUCAAAUCCUCAUCUCAAGGGGGUGCCUGUUCUCAUAGUAGGACAUCAUAUCCUGUAUGGGAAGGUCGUCAAACUGGAGAACCUUUUGCAGUCCUUGUGAAGCUGUCGCAAGUGACGCUGAAUCAGCUAGGCUGGUCAGUAAAACAUUGACACCUUUUGCAUGGAGGAUCUCAGUAGCUAAGGCUCAUGGUUCAUCAAUUGAAUCAGAUUCAGUUGUAUUGUGUCUACCAACUGAUGAUGUGAGGCAGAACAGUAAUUGGAUACCAGAAAAUAUGAAUAACAGUGAGUUUUGGCCUCCUUCAGUGUUCUGGAUGGAAGGCGUACCUCGCAAAGUGACUCUGUGUGAACAAAAGGAAAUAUAAAGAAAUAAUAUUUACAGCUAAACUUGUCCAAGUAUCUUAUAGGAAUGAAGUCAGGCCAUGGAAAUCCACAUCUGUGAUGGAGAAACAUUGGAUCAAGGGACUUCUUGUGGAAACAACUAAGAGCGAAACCUGGUACAGAAGCUGAAUCCUGCUGGGAACAUACUUAGUGCAUACUAAGUACUUAGUGGUCUGAGAAUCCCUAAGAAAAUAUAUAUUUUGAACGAUUUACCACUAGUAAAUCUUCAGAAAGCAUGACGCUUGAUAAAAAGCACUAUUCCGGCUAAAAGUGAACGUUAAUCUACAAAUUUUUGUCAAGAAAAACACAAGAUAAGAAGAGACUCUUUAUGACCAAAAGAUUAACUAACAAUCCAGAGGUCUUGAGAAAAAAUCCUGUCUCGGCUGGAUUUUGUAUGAACAAAGGGUCACGCCUAGUUGAAUGCAGUUAUACUAGCAUAUAUUUGGAUUUAAAUCCUAAAAGGGAUUCACCAAAAUAAUAUUAUAGCAAUUGAUAAACAGAGGUAAAUUAAUUGAAAGAUUAUCUUAUAAUGAAACAGGUUCAGUGCUAAUUGAAACUGUUUAUAGUUCAUAACAGUUAUUUCAUAAGAUUAAUAAUAUGUUUUAAGUAUUUGCUAUAAUGAGAAAACAUUAUUUAAAACUGACAAGUAUUAUUGCUUGUUCACGACUUUGCUGUAGUGAUAGAAGUUUAAAACCUGGAGCAGUAUUCGAUUUACUUAAAUGGGAAAAUGGUACAAGUUUAUUCUUCUUUCUAUUGAACAAUAAGACUUCUAGACAUUAUGAUAUCCAUUGAAGUAUAGAAGUUAAAAGGUGUUGUGUUAUGUUUUUGUGUUAAGUUUGUAAUAAUGUACUAUAAUGUACCUUGUUAUUAAUCCACUGUACUAUUGUCUAAUGAUGGUAGAUGGAUUCCUUAUAAUGUGGUGAUUUGAAACUGCUACAGUGAAACCAGGGCAUCUCUUCUUAUCUAGAAAGAGGGAAUGUCCUUGGGUUCCACUUCAGCAGAGCUGCAAGCCUCAUAGAGAUGGAGUUAGUGGUUUAGUACUGAUAAGUAAAUGUCUUGAAAUAAUAUGCAUAACUCAUGGCUUAAUGGACAGGUCAUUUAUCUAAAAAAGUGUUUGCACAGACUCUGACCUUGGAAAAAAUAAGAGACUGUGGAAACUGCUAGCAGUAACAUAUUCCCAGAGAGGUACAGGUCAGAGCCUGGUCAGUGCAUCUCUUAAUGGAUAAAUAAUUGUAAUGAAAACUAUUACCACUUAAACUUAGUGAGACUAAAUGACUUGAAUAUUGUAUGAGACAAACUUUUGUCAAAUACUCUGUUAGACAAUGGUAUAUGGAAUCAAAACUGAUUCAUUAACAAAAUGAUGAAACAAUAUGAAGUUAAAAGAAACACAUACCUUUAAUUUAGCAUAAUAUAAUCACUUAGAAGAUGAUGUCGCAUAUUAAGAACAUCUCUCAUAUAUAACACAUAUAAAAUUAGUGUUUUGCAUGCAGUAGUGUUUUUAUAUUAUAUUAUAAACCAAGAUCCUGGGAACCUGGGUUCACUUAACUUUUCAGAUAAAGGAGGGGCUCGGAGGAAAGCAAAGAAAUGAGAUCAUAAGAGUUGAAACAAAUGUGAAGUUUUGAAUUUAUUGAAGUCCAUGACACCUAUUAAUUCUGAAAAGUUAGUCCGGAUCUUUUGAAAACUAUUAUUUGUAAAAGGGAUAAAGAGCUGUCUCACCUGAUUAAUGAUUGGAUUUAAUUGAGGUGUCCCAUGUAUUCCAAUGAGACAAAAAACCUAUUUAACUCCAGAGUAAUUUCAAUGGAGUACCACACUCAUCCCAGACAGGGCAAGGUGGUCCAUCUUCUGCAAACCAAAGACACAAUUGAGCUGAUUGAAUUCAGUUUCAUUUGCCUGGUGAAGACAGCCAUAUCCUUUUACGAUUUAUAUUAAAGGGUAAGCAUUAAGCAAUUAUUAUUAUUAUUAUUUUAUCUCACAUGUAUUGCAUGUAUUGCCAUAAGGGACUCACACUAUGUUUUAGAAAUAAGAGAGAGUUUUGUUGAAUGUGCUGAAAUAGACCAUUGGGUACUUUAGGUGACGUGUUCUUGGCCUGCUUGUCGGCCUUGAUUAACACAUAUAUACAUGUAUUAAAGUGUUAACGUUGAUAUCUGUUAAGACACUGGACUGCCCAGUGUGCCUUUCUGCUGGGGAUACGACGUAGCCUGUAGCUACUCUAUCCAAUAUUUAACCGUUAAUAAACCGAACGAGUACUGAUCAUACUCCGAUUCGUAAAAAACUUUAAAUACAUGAGUCUGUCAAUUUCUUGAGUUCUAUAUUAGUUAUCUGGAUAUACUGCGGGUCCAGAGCACGAACUAUAUCCCACUAGGAGUAAUAACAUCUCUGUCCUCCUAACGUCUCCCCUGAGAUAAGAGUGUAUGCUGAGCAAAUAACUGUGGGGUCGUAGGGAUGUCUAUUGUUUGGUGUAAAGUAUACUGCACCCCUAUGCCUUUGCAUUCUGGAGACCUGGGUUCAGGGCGAAAUUAGUUUGGUCUCAGCAUUGGCCCAGAAAAGUGGCAGUGUAUCUGAGGGAAGCUUAGGACAGAAUGGA